This 1540-nucleotide ribosomal RNA is filed under the name Staphylococcus aureus COAS6004. RNAcentral describes it as "16S ribosomal RNA". It matches the Rfam family "Bacterial small subunit ribosomal RNA". Lineage: Bacteria; Bacillati; Bacillota; Bacilli; Caryophanales; Staphylococcaceae. The record is from RNAcentral.
AGAGUUUGAUCCUGGCUCAGGAUGAACGCUGGCGGCGUGCCUAAUACAUGCAAGUCGAGCGAACGGACGAGAAGCUUGCUUCUCUGAUGUUAGCGGCGGACGGGUGAGUAACACGUGGAUAACCUACCUAUAAGACUGGGAUAACUUCGGGAAACCGGAGCUAAUACCGGAUAAUAUUUUGAACCGCAUGGUUCAAAAGUAAAAGACGGUCUUGCUGUCACUUAUAGAUGGAUCCGCGCUGCAUUAGCUAGUUGGUAAGGUAACGGCUUACCAAGGCAACGAUGCAUAGCCGACCUGAGAGGGUGAUCGGCCACACUGGAACUGAGACACGGUCCAGACUCCUACGGGAGGCAGCAGUAGGGAAUCUUCCGCAAUGGGCGAAAGCCUGACGGAGCAACGCCGCGUGAGUGAUGAAGGUCUUCGGAUCGUAAAACUCUGUUAUUAGGGAAGAACAUAUGUGUAAGUAACUGUGCACAUCUUGACGGUACCUAAUCAGAAAGCCACGGCUAACUACGUGCCAGCAGCCGCGGUAAUACGUAGGUGGCAAGCGUUAUCCGGAAUUAUUGGGCGUAAAGCGCGCGUAGGCGGUUUUUUAAGUCUGAUGUGAAAGCCCACGGCUCAACCGUGGAGGGUCAUUGGAAACUGGAAAACUUGAGUGCAGAAGAGGAAAGUGGAAUUCCAUGUGUAGCGGUGAAAUGCGCAGAGAUAUGGAGGAACACCAGUGGCGAAGGCGACUUUCUGGUCUGUAACUGACGCUGAUGUGCGAAAGCGUGGGGAUCAAACAGGAUUAGAUACCCUGGUAGUCCACGCCGUAAACGAUGAGUGCUAAGUGUUAGGGGGUUUCCGCCCCUUAGUGCUGCAGCUAACGCAUUAAGCACUCCGCCUGGGGAGUACGACCGCAAGGUUGAAACUCAAAGGAAUUGACGGGGACCUGCACAAGCGGUGGAGCAUGUGGUUUAAUUCGAAGCAACGCGAAGAACCUUACCAAAUCUUGACAUCCUUUGACAACUCUAGAGAUAGAGCCUUCCCCUUCGGGGGACAAAGUGACAGGUGGUGCAUGGUUGUCGUCAGCUCGUGUCGUGAGAUGUUGGGUUAAGUCCCGCAACGAGCGCAACCCUUAAGCUUAGUUGCCAUCAUUAAGUUGGGCACUCUAAGUUGACUGCCGGUGACAAACCGGAGGAAGGUGGGGAUGACGUCAAAUCAUCAUGCCCCUUAUGAUUUGGGCUACACACGUGCUACAAUGGACAAUACAAAGGGCAGCGAAACCGCGAGGUCAAGCAAAUCCCAUAAAGUUGUUCUCAGUUCGGAUUGUAGUCUGCAACUCGACUACAUGAAGCUGGAAUCGCUAGUAAUCGUAGAUCAGCAUGCUACGGUGAAUACGUUCCCGGGUCUUGUACACACCGCCCGUCACACCACGAGAGUUUGUAACACCCGAAGCCGGUGGAGUAACCUUUUAGGAGCUAGCCGUCGAAGGUGGGACAAAUGAUUGGGGUGAAGUCGUAACAAGGUAGCCGUAUCGGAAGGUGCGGCUGGAUCACCU